ACCACCCUUCUUGCAACUUUUGCCACUCAAUUUUUCCUUGUCUUUUUCUUAGAUUUCUUUUUAGAAUUUUUUAUAUGAUUUUUACAUCCCUACUCUCUAGUUUAAGCCCAAAAUCACCGCACAGCAAUUUAGGAUGUCCCAUAUAAAUAAGGGACCAAGGGACGUGUCAUGAGAAGAAGGGGUGCCAACCUUUGACACUGCAACUUC
Molecule: long non-coding RNA, 207 nt
Filed under: Elaeis guineensis (African oil palm)
Lineage: Eukaryota; Viridiplantae; Streptophyta; Magnoliopsida; Arecales; Arecaceae
Description: long non-coding RNA (EGUI_LNC032696)
Source: RNAcentral